GAUGAACGCUGGCGGCGUGCUUAACACAUGCAAGUCGAACGGAAAGGCCCUGCUUGCAGGGUACUCGAGUGGCGAACGGGUGAGUAACACGUGGGUGAUCUGCCCUGCACUUCGGGAUAAGCCUGGGAAACUGGGUCUAAUACCGGAUAGGAGCCAUUUUUAGUGUGAUGGUUGGAAAGUUUUUUCGGUGUAGGAUGAGCUCGCGGCCUAUCAGCUUGUUGGUGGGGUAAUGGCCUACCAAGGCGGCGACGGGUAGCCGGCCUGCGAGGGUGGACGGCCACAUUGGGACUGAGAUACGGCCCAGACUCCUACGGGAGGCAGCAGUGGGGAAUAUUGCACAAUGGGCGCAAGCCGGAUGCAGCGACGCCGCGUGGGGGAUGACGGCCUUCUGGUUGUAGACUCCUUUCGCUAGGGACGAAGCUUUUUGUGACGGUACCUAGAUAAGAAGCACCGGCUAACUACGUG
Molecule: ribosomal RNA, 465 nt
Filed under: uncultured bacterium
Lineage: Bacteria
Description: partial 16S ribosomal RNA
Rfam family: Bacterial small subunit ribosomal RNA
Source: RNAcentral